UUUUACGCUGACAUAUCAUUUCCCAACGAAUUCAUCGCCAAAAGGAUCAAGAAGAACGUACAUAGUUCCUAAUCACAUCAACAUCACUCGAAAUAAUACAAAAACAACAAGAAAUGCUUUUCUCUAUAGCAGCUUAUAUGCUCAGAGCUUCAUUGAAUGAGUAUUCCACGUUUGCUAUAUAACAGGUGUCACUGUCCUUUCAUGAGCGGGCAAAAAAAGGGCGCAAAUGUUUGGUGGUAUUGAGCGAAAAAUGGGCUUGGUUCAUAAUUGGGGCACUGGGAAGGGGUCCUCAAAUUAGGAUACAAAGAUGACCCUAUCGUAGGAAUUUUUCCCAACAGUCUCGGAUCACAGACUUGGUUCGAAAUAUGAGAAGUGGGUAAAUCUGUGAUGUCCAAAUUUUCUGGGUGACGUCCAAUGGGAUCCCAGAAGUCGUCAAGUACAGUGGCAAUCGACUGGUCCUUUGAAAGGUGUCCUUCAGGAGAAUCUUGGGCGGCUGUUGCUCGGGAAAUUCCGUAACAGUUUGGCGUUGAAGUCUGGAACUCGGUGCCGGAAGACCUUUGUCCCGGGGAAGGCCUUGCUUGGGAAGCAUUGGUUCUGUUAAGAGCAUGGCCAUAUUGUGAAAGUUUGGGAUAUAUAGGUGGCGUAGGGCGGAUGUAAGUUGCAAAACGUGAUUUUGGGCCAUAGAAUAUACUUGAUGGCGGAUAAUGAUCUUGUUGAGGGAUAGAAGGGCGCGGAUGAUGUAUUGUUGAC
Molecule: small RNA, 750 nt
Filed under: Cryptococcus neoformans H99
Lineage: Eukaryota; Fungi; Basidiomycota; Tremellomycetes; Tremellales; Cryptococcaceae
Description: Cryptococcus neoformans var. grubii H99 hypothetical RNA
Source: RNAcentral